Molecule: ribosomal RNA, 485 nt
Filed under: uncultured bacterium
Lineage: Bacteria
Description: bacterial SSU rRNA
Rfam family: Bacterial small subunit ribosomal RNA
Source: RNAcentral
AUUGAACGCUGGCGGCAUGCCUUACACAUGCAAGUCGAACGGCAGGCACGGGAGCAAUCCUGGUGGGCGAGUGGCGAACGGGUGAGUAAUAUAUCGGAACGUGCCCAGUCGUGGGGGAUAACGUAGCGAAAGCUACGCUAAUACCGCAUACGAUCUAUGGAUGAAAGCGGGGAUCGCAAGACCUCGCGCGAUUGGAGCGGCCGAUAUCAGAUUAGGUAGUUGGUGAGGUAAAGGCUCACCAAGCCGACGAUCUGUAGCUGGUCUGAGAGGACGACCCAGCCACACUGGGACUGAGACACGGCCCAGACUCCUACGGGAGGCAGCAGUGGGGAAUUUUGGACAAUGGGCGCAAGCCUGAUCCAGCAAUGCCGCGUGCAGGAUGAAGGCCUUCGGGUUGUAAACUGCUUUGUACGGAACGAAACGGUGAGCUCUAAUACAGUUUGCUAAUGACGGUACCGUAAGAAUAAGCACCGGCUAACUACGUG